Molecule: non-coding RNA, 125 nt
Organism: Mycena belliarum
Lineage: Eukaryota; Fungi; Basidiomycota; Agaricomycetes; Agaricales; Mycenaceae
Source: the annotation of a GenBank genome assembly
GGUGAGAUGGCCGAGCGGUCUAAGGCGCCAGACUAAGGAUCAGCUUCGAGUUGAAGCACCUGCUGUUCAGUUAAUACUGUGUAAUCUGGUCCUCCGGGGCGUGGGUUCGAAUCCCACUCUCAUCA